UACGGGAGGCAGCAGUGGGGAAUUUUGGACAAUGGGCGCAAGCCUGAUCCAGCCAUGCCGCGUGAGUGAAGAAGGCCUUCGGGUUGUAAAGCUCUUUCGGACGGAAAGAAAUCGCGCAGGCUAAUACCCUGCGCGGAUGACGGUACCGUCAUAAGAAGCACCGGCUAACUACGUGCCAGCAGCCGCGGUAAUACGUAGGGUGCGAGCGUUAAUCGGAAUUACUGGGCGUAAAGCGUGCGCAGGCGGUUGAUUAAGCAGGCGUGAAAUCCCCGGGCUUAACCUGGGAACUGCGCUUGUGACUGGUCAGCUAGAGUACGGCAGAGGGGGUGGAAUUCCACGUGUAGCAGUGAAAUGCGUAGAGGAUGUGGAGGAACACCGGAUGGCGAAGGCAGCCCCCUGGGGCCGAUACUGACGCUCAUGCACGAAAGCGUGGGUAGCAAACAGGAUUAGGAAUAACC
RNAcentral lists this ribosomal RNA (458 nucleotides) under uncultured bacterium. RNAcentral's name for it is "bacterial SSU rRNA". It matches the Rfam family "Bacterial small subunit ribosomal RNA", at positions 340 to 787 of the family's 1533-position model. The record is from RNAcentral.